Molecule: ribosomal RNA, 482 nt
Filed under: uncultured bacterium
Lineage: Bacteria
Description: partial 16S ribosomal RNA
Rfam family: Bacterial small subunit ribosomal RNA
Source: RNAcentral
AUUGAACGCUGGCGGCAUGCUUUACACAUGCAAGUCGAACGGUAACAGGCCGCAAGGUGCUGACGAGUGGCGAACGGGUGAGUAAUGCAUCGGAACGUGCCCAGUCGUGGGGGAUAACUACUCGAAAGAGUAGCUAAUACCGCAUACGAUCUAUGGAUGAAAGCGGGGGACCGUAAGGCCUCGCGCGAUUGGAGCGGCCGAUGUCAGAUUAGGUAGUUGGUGGGGUAAAGGCUCACCAAGCCAACGAUCUGUAGCUGGUCUGAGAGGACGACCAGCCACACUGGGACUGAGACACGGCCCAGACUCCUACGGGAGGCAGCAGUGGGGAAUUUUGGACAAUGGGCGAAAGCCUGAUCCAGCAAUGCCACGUGCAGGAAGAAGGCCUUCGGGUUGUAAACUGCUUUUGUACGGAACGAAACGGCUCUGGUUAAUACCCGGGGCUAAUGACGGUACCGAAAGAAUAAGCACCGGCUAACUACGUG